AUUAAUAAAACAAUGAACUUAUAAUAAACUGACCUAGCAUAGUGACUUCGGUCGCUAUCCAUUGAAUUUAUAUCCAAAAAACCUCAUAAAUAAAUUAUCUGGUUGAUAUAAAC
This 113-nucleotide unclassified non-coding RNA is filed under the name Lacrymaria maurea. RNAcentral describes it as "partial internal transcibed spacer 1". Lineage: Eukaryota; Ciliophora; Litostomatea; Haptorida; Lacrymariidae. The record is from RNAcentral.